UCUCGUUACUAAAGAUAAAUUUUAUUUCAAUAAAAAUUGUAAUGAGCUUGAUCACCUACCCUUUUCACCUGACUUGGCUACAAAUGACUGCCAACUGUUUAAAAAAAAAAAUCCAACCGACCCUCAGAGCUAAUAUGCUAUUACUUUUAAAGAUUACAGACAGGCCAGGCGUGGUGGCUCACGCCUGUAAUCCCAGCACUCUGGGAGGCCAAGUUCCUAUUUCUUAGUGUUAGAAAGAAAGAGAGAGAAAUCCCUCAGAACAAUCAGCAGCCUGGAGCAUAGUUUGAGACUCCCACUAACAGAGCCAAGAGUCUCAAACUAGGCCAACAGGCACCCUUGGGGAACUCUGCUGAGGCUGAGGCAGGAGAAUUCCCGGAACCCGGGAGGCGGAGGUUGCAGUGAGCUGAGAUCGCGCCAUUGCACUUCAGCCUGGGCAGCGAGAGCGAGACUCGGUCUCAAAAAAAUAAAAAAAUAAAAAAGCCUCUCUUGUGUCCUUGUCCCCAGCCUUCCAGCUCUCCUCUGAGGGAACCAGUUUUCAAGAUGGCCCGCAACAAUCCCUGCCUGCUGCCAUUCACACCUUGUUUAGUCCCCUCCCACGCUGGAAAGAUCCAUGUUGGGGCUCGUGUGUGACCAAUGCCGCAGAAGUGAUGUUAUGUCACUUCCGCGAUUACGUCAUGAAAGACUGCAGCUUCCAUUGUUGGCUCUUUCUUUCUCUUUCUUGGAUCAGUCGCUUUGGAGGAAGCCAGCUGCCAUGUUUUGAGGACACUAAGGCACUUUACGGAGAGGCCCACGUGUUCUUGUUCUAGGUGCUGGUGAUAGAACUGUGAACCAAAGGUCAUUGCCUUCAAGGAGUUUAUAUUCAAGUGGAGAAGAUGGAAAACCCUCCCCUCACAAACAAACAGACUCUGAAACCUGAUAAAUAAAUAUUAG
RNAcentral lists this long non-coding RNA (930 nucleotides) under Homo sapiens (human). RNAcentral's name for it is "HSALNT0384749". Lineage: Eukaryota; Metazoa; Chordata; Mammalia; Primates; Hominidae. The record is from RNAcentral.